GCUGUUGUGGCCGAGUGGUUAAGGCGAUGGACUUAAGAUCCAUUGGGACUUUGUUCCUUCGCAGGUUCGAAUCCUGCCAACAGCG
Non-coding RNA from Aplysia californica (California sea hare), 85 nucleotides. NCBI's taxonomy places the organism in Eukaryota, Metazoa, Mollusca, Gastropoda, Aplysiida, Aplysiidae. The record is from the annotation of a RefSeq genome assembly.